This 1314-nucleotide long non-coding RNA is filed under the name Coturnix japonica (Japanese quail). RNAcentral's name for it is "lncRNA (ENSCJPG00005019488.1)". The record is from RNAcentral. Lineage: Eukaryota; Metazoa; Chordata; Aves; Galliformes; Phasianidae.
AUGCCAGCGAUGUGGGCACAGCUUUGCCCGCUGGGCACCAGCCCCCCCGGCAGCUCCACACCGCCCCUGGCUCCUGCUGGGUGCCCCCCGGACGGCUGUUCGCGCCCUAAAGCAAAAGCUGCGGCGGCAGCGACCCUCGGGCUGCUCUGUGCCCCGGGAGAGUCCCCCCGUCCCACUUCAGCACUCCGGGCCGUCGGCGCGGAGCUCCCCGCUUGCAGCGCCCCGGGCCCGGCCCCAACCCGCCGCCCGUCCCCUUCCCGCCAGCGGCGGCGGUGCCCGCGGCGGGGCGGGCGCAGGGGGCGGGCGCGGGGCGGGGGGAGGCGGGGCGGAGGCGGCCGGAGCCCCCGGGAUCCGCCGGCACCUCCCGGGCCCGGCACUCGCCGCCACCAACUUCGGCCGGGAGUCGCCCUCGGAGCCGCCGAUCUCGCAGCCCAGCGCCGCCGAGGAGGGCAGCGCCGGGAGCCGCCCCCCGCUCCCCUCUCGCCGCCGGCGGGGGCUCAGCGCGGCGCGGGGGCCGCGGCCCCCGGGGCAGGUGCGUCCCCAAGCGGUCUCCGGCCGCCGCGGCGGGGGGCGCGGGGCCCCGAGCCCGCCGUGGGCACCCGCUCACCUGCCGCCACCGCUCGGGGACACGGCGCCUGGGAGAUGCAGGUAGGAGGCGGCCCCGGCCGGCGGCGGGGCAGGGAGGAGGAGGAGGAGGAGGAGAAGGGCGGAGAGGGAGGCGUCCCGCUGCCGGGCGGCGCGGCUCCGCGGGCCGCUCCCGUCCCGUCCACGGCGAGAGGCGGCGCCGGGGGUCGCCGCGCUCCGGCAGCCCCGAGCACGGCAGCCCCGAGCGCGGCCUCCCGCCCUCGGCAGCACCGCACAUCCCUCCCACCCUCGGACGGGCGCCGCUCCGCGCUGCUCCGGCGGCGGGAAGGGGCCGUCGGGGGGCGCCGAGCGGGGCGCGGGCUGGGGUCGGGCGGGUCCUCCGGCGCCCUUCGGUGCGGCGCGGAAGGUCGGGUCGCGGCCGGACGCUCCUCGGUGAUGCGACGGGCGGGACGGGCAAAGCAGGUGUACCCCGGUAAGGAGGGCGGUACGCCCGGAGGAGAAGGGGUGUUCCUCUGGGACGAGGUCCCGUGCCCUCCUGCGAGCCCCGUGCCAACGCUGUCGCUCUGGCCCUCGUGCCUUCAAUACGGGAGCGGCCUCGAGGAGGGCAGCAGCGCGGGAGAUGGUGCUCAUGCCCUGGAAACACGCUCAAGUAGCGAUGGAGAGUGUCGUGUCACGGCACCGCGGUGCCAGCAUCACAGCUGUGCCCGGAACAAGCACGCUGUACAUUGA